UACGUAGGGUGCAAGCGUUAUCCGGAAUUAUUGGGCGUAAAGAGCUCGUAGGCGGUUUGUCGCGUCUGCUGUGAAAACUGGAGGCUCAACCUCCAGCCUGCAGCGGGUACGGGCAAACUAGAGUGCGGUAGGGGAGAUUGGAAUUCCUGGUGUAGCGGUGGAAUGCGCAGAUAUCAGGAGGAACACCGAUGGCGAAGGCAGAUCUCUGGGCCGUAACUGACGCUGAGGAGCGAAAGCAUGGGGAGCGAACAGG
Molecule: ribosomal RNA, 253 nt
Filed under: uncultured bacterium
Lineage: Bacteria
Description: partial 16S ribosomal RNA
Rfam family: Bacterial small subunit ribosomal RNA
Source: RNAcentral